This 480-nucleotide ribosomal RNA is filed under the name uncultured anaerobic ammonium-oxidizing bacterium. RNAcentral describes it as "bacterial SSU rRNA". It matches the Rfam family "Bacterial small subunit ribosomal RNA", at positions 363 to 833 of the family's 1533-position model. The record is from RNAcentral.
UUUUCGCAAUGCCCGAAAGGGUGACGAAGCGACGCCGCGUGAGUGAGGAAGGUCUUCGGGUUGUAAAGCUCUGUCAGGAGUUAAGAAAUGUAAGUGUGUUAAUACCACAUUUAUUUGACGAAAGCUCCAAAGGAAGCCACGGCUAACUCUGUGCCAGCAGCCGCGGUAAUACAGAGGUGGCAAGCGUUGUUCGGAAUUAUUGGGCGUAAAGAGCACGUAGGUGGGUUUGUAAGUCAGAUGUGAAAGCCUUCUGUUCAACAGAAGAAUUGCAUCUGAAACUGCGAGUCUUGAGUGUAGGAGGGGAGAAUGGAACUUCUGGUGGAGCGGUGAAAUGCGUAGAUAUCAGAAGGAACGCCGGCGGCGAAAGCGAUUCUCUGGCCUAUUACUGACACUCAGUGUGCGAAAGCUAGGGGAGCAAACGGGAUUAGAUACCCCGGUAGUCCUAGCCGUAAACGAUGGGCACUAAGUAGAGGGGUUUUA